CGCUGGAUUUACGCCUUUAGAGAGAGAAAGGGGAAGGUGGGGGGUCAGCUUUAGAAUGAAGGGUGAGACUGAGACUUCUGUGGGGUAAGCCUNNNNNNNNNNNNNNNNNNNNAGAAGAAACGAAACGAGAGAGAGAGAGGAGGCGCCCCACCGACCAACCCUUCAACAAGGCUAAUUCUUUGCGCUGGAUUUACGCCUUUAGAGAGAGAAAGGGGAAGGUGGGGGGUCAGCUUUAGAAUGAAGGGUGAGACUGAGACUUCUGUGGGGUAAGCCUCUGAAAAGAACAACGGAACGGAAACGGUGUUUGGGAACAACUGGCGUCGGUAGUUCAACAACCUAUUAAGGCUUCCUUCACAUUGGAAGUGUAAACCUGUGCUCGAGUUUCUCGACUUUUCCCUCACCCUAUACAAAGACGAGGGAAGGAGGCAGGGGAGGUGAUCGAAGAUAUCGCCCCGAGCACUGGAUGGAGUGGUUGGAGGUUAGUAUAUUGAAGGGAGCCGAAAAGGAAUGAGGGGUCGUGCUUUGACUCCGUACUGAUGAUGAAAGGAUGGGCCAGGUGAGGGAACUGGGGAGUCUGGAAAAGUGGCAAUGGG
Molecule: long non-coding RNA, 593 nt
Filed under: Elaeis guineensis (African oil palm)
Lineage: Eukaryota; Viridiplantae; Streptophyta; Magnoliopsida; Arecales; Arecaceae
Description: long non-coding RNA (EGUI_LNC043125)
Source: RNAcentral